Molecule: regulatory RNA element, 166 nt
Organism: Roseburia sp. CAG:45
Lineage: Bacteria; Bacillati; Bacillota; Clostridia; Lachnospirales; Lachnospiraceae
Source: Rfam
UGAAGCAGACUGUUAGGGGCACUUGGAAUUUCGUCGGCAAACCGGCAGCACUGGCACAGGGAUGUGCCAGUGAGGCGCAUCUUAAGCAUGGAUGCGAAUAUGCGCCGGUUGCCGGACGAAUUCGUAACUUUAUCGAAAUUCUUAGUGCCCCUUGCAGGCUUGCUGU